GAUGAAGAACGUAGCGAAAUGCGAUAAGUAGUGUGAAUUGCAGAAUUCAGUGAAUCAUCGAAUCUUUGAACGCACAUUGCGCCUUCUAGUAUUCUGGGAGGCAUGCCUGUUUGAGCGUCAUUAAACCUCUCUCAAGUAUGAUUACUUGGAUGUGAAGGAAGAGUACCUUAAACUUAAGGAGUGUUCUCCUUAGAAAUUGAUUAGCAGAUGGUAAUGUUAUUAAAUCCCUGAUGUUGUAAGAAAUAACAGUGGUUUUGUAGACUAUUAUCUAGCUUUAAAUUAUAAUUUUUAUUAUGGUUGACCUCAAAUCAGGUAAGGAUACCCGCUGAACUUAAGCAUAUCAAUAAGGGAGGA
Molecule: unclassified non-coding RNA, 354 nt
Filed under: soil metagenome
Description: partial contains 5.8S ribosomal RNA, internal transcribed spacer 2, and large subunit ribosomal RNA
Rfam family: 5.8S ribosomal RNA (bases 1-120)
Source: RNAcentral